This 253-nucleotide ribosomal RNA is filed under the name uncultured bacterium. RNAcentral's name for it is "partial 16S ribosomal RNA". It matches the Rfam family "Bacterial small subunit ribosomal RNA", at positions 524 to 776 of the family's 1533-position model. The record is from RNAcentral.
UACAGAGGGUUCAAGCGAUAAUCGGAAUUACUGGGCGUAAAGCGUGCGUAGGUGGUUUGUUAAGUCAGGCGUGAAAUCCUCGGGCUCAACCUGGGAACUGCGCUUGAUACUGACUGACUCGAGUGUGGUAGAGGAUAGUGGAAUUCCCGGUGUAGCGGUGAAAUGCGUAGAUAUCGGGAGGAACAUCAGUGGCGAAGGCGGCUAUCUGGACUAACACUGACACUGAGGUACGAAAGCGUGGGUAGCAAACAGG